RNAcentral lists this ribosomal RNA (1220 nucleotides) under Campylobacter jejuni. RNAcentral's name for it is "partial 23S ribosomal RNA". It matches the Rfam family "Bacterial large subunit ribosomal RNA", at positions 1 to 1223 of the family's 2925-position model. Lineage: Bacteria; Pseudomonadati; Campylobacterota; Epsilonproteobacteria; Campylobacterales; Campylobacteraceae. The record is from RNAcentral.
AGGUAAGCUACUAAGAGCGAAUGGUGGAUGCCUUGACUGGUAAAGGCGAUGAAGGACGUACUAGACUGCGAUAAGCUACGGGGAGCUGUCAAGAAGCUUUGAUCCGUAGAUUUCCGAAUGGGGCAACCCAAUGUAUAGAGAUAUACAUUACCUAUAUAGGAGCGAACGAGGGGAAUUGAAACAUCUUAGUACCCUCAGGAAAAGAAAUCAAUAGAGAUUGCGUCAGUAGCGGCGAGCGAAAGCGCAAGAGGGCAAACCCAGUGCUUGCACUGGGGGUUGUAGGACUGCAAUGUGCAAGAGCUGAGUUUAGCAGAACAUUCUGGAAAGUAUAGCCAUAGAGGGUGAUAGUCCCGUAUGCGAAAAACAAAGCUUAGCUAGCAGUAUCCUGAGUAGGGCGGGACACGAGGAAUCCUGUCUGAAUCCGGGUCGACCACGAUCCAACCCUAAAUACUAAUACCAGAUCGAUAGUGCACAAGUACCGUGAGGGAAAGGUGAAAAGAACUGAGGUGAUCAGAGUGAAAUAGAACCUGAAACCAUUUGCUUACAAUCAUUCAGAGCACUAUGUAGCAAUACAGUGUGAUGGACUGCCUUUUGCAUAAUGAGCCUGCGAGUUGUGGUGUCUGGCAAGGUUAAGCAAACGCGAAGCCGUAGCGAAAGCGAGUCUGAAUAGGGCGCUUAGUCAGAUGCUGCAGACCCGAAACGAAGUGAUCUAUCCAUGAGCAAGUUGAAGCUAGUGUAAGAACUAGUGGAGGACUGAACCCAUAGGCGUUGAAAAGCCCCGGGAUGACUUGUGGAUAGGGGUGAAAGGCCAAUCAAACUUCGUGAUAGCUGGUUCUCUCCGAAAUAUAUUUAGGUAUAGCGUUGUGUCGUAAUAUAAGGGGGUAGAGCACUGAAUGGGCUAGGGCAUACACCAAUGUACCAAACCCUAUCAAACUCCGAAUACCUUAUAUGUAAUCACAGCAGUCAGGCGGCGAGUGAUAAAAUCCGUCGUCAAGAGGGAAACAACCCAGACUACCAGCUAAGGUCCCUAAAUCUUACUUAAGUGGAAAACGAUGUGAAGUUACUUAAACAACCAGGAGGUUGGCUUAGAAGCAGCCAUCCUUUAAAGAAAGCGUAAUAGCUCACUGGUCUAGUGAUUUUGCGCGGAAAAUAUAACGGGGCUAAAGUAAGUACCGAAGCUGUAGACUUGCACACAACUUAGAUUAUUUAAGUUUAGAAUA